Molecule: long non-coding RNA, 897 nt
Filed under: Microcebus murinus (gray mouse lemur)
Lineage: Eukaryota; Metazoa; Chordata; Mammalia; Primates; Cheirogaleidae
Description: lncRNA (ENSMICG00000048172.1)
Source: RNAcentral
AUGCGUGCUUACAGAUCUUUGCUGUUUUGCUUUUUAGGUGCAAACCCGAAUUAUCCUGAUGUAAUUUAUGAAGAUUAUGGGACUGCAACAAACGACGUCGGGGACACCACCAACAGAAGUAACGAUAUCCCUCCCACUGGGGUUGCUGACACAACUGGUCGGGAACAUCUCUCGGUCUAUGCUGUUGUGGUAAUUGCAUCUGUGGUGGGAUUUUGUCUGCUGAUAAUGCUGUUUCUGCUUAAGUUGGCAAGACACUCCAAGUUUGGCAUGAAAGGUAAGAAGGGUUGUGUUUAUUUUGCUUCUUAUGUGGAAUCGUUUUUGGCUUAUGACUAAUGCUAAUUACCACUAAAGAAGGAAGCAGCUAGAUUUAUGAUGAUUAGGUUUGAAAAGGCUGAAAAAAUAGCAACAAGGAUGUGACACUACAAAUCUAGACACGGCAAAAUAAUGUUGAUUACUCAGCACUACCCACUUUCCCAUGAGGACAGUUGUCCCACAAGACACAGAACUGGUUUCUUGAGUAUCAAGUGACUAAUGAUGAUAUGGACAAAUAUUGCUCGGUUUUUCCCUUUUGCUCUAGAAAGGCAAGUGAGGCACAGUGGCUAUAGGAUAGUCUGGACAUGUGUACUUUGGGCAGAAAGGUUUUUCCUGCCGCACAUUUGAUUUCCACAUCCUCAGUGGUAUGCUUUUGGUGUGGUGACUGCUUCUGCAGGUUCUCGCUCUUUGAAGUUUUAACAACAGAGUUGGGAAGCAAAGUAACAAAUUCUCAAUGCUGGAUUAAAAACUAGGGUCUAGGCCGGGCGCGGUGGCUCACGCCUGUAAUCCUAGCUCUCUGGGAGGCCGAGGCGGGCGGAUUGCUCGAGCACGCAUGUAAUCCUUAGCUCUUGAGGCCGAGGCGGG